GCCCGCACAAGCGGCGGAGCAUGCGGAUUAAUUCGAUGCAACGCGAAGAACCUUACCAAGGCUUGACAUGUGCCAGACCGGAUCAGAGAUGGUCUUUCCCUUCGGGGCUGGUUCACAGGUGGUGCAUGGUUGUCGUCAGCUCGUGUCGUGAGAUGUUGGGUUAAGUCCCGCAACGAGCGCAACCCUCGUUCCAUGUUGCCAGCACGUAGUGGUGGGGACUCAUGGGAGACUGCCGGGGUCAACUCGGAGGAAGGUGGGGAUGACGUCAAAUCAUCAUGCCCCUUAUGUCUUGGGCUUCACGCAUGCUACAAUGGCCGGUACAAUGGGUUGCGAUACUGUGAGGUGGAGCUAAUCCCUAAAAGCCGGUCUCAGUUCGGAUUGGGGUCUGCAACUCGACCCCAUGAAGUCGGAGUCGCUAGUAAUCGCAGAUCAGCAACGCUGCGGUGAAUACGUUCCCGGGCCUUGUACACACCGCCCGUCAAGUCACGAAAGUUGGUAACACCCGAAGCCGAUGGCCUAACCACCUUGUGUGGGGGGAGUCGUCGAAGGUGGGAUCUGGCGAUUGGGA
Molecule: ribosomal RNA, 568 nt
Filed under: Arthrobacter sp. 387N
Lineage: Bacteria; Bacillati; Actinomycetota; Actinomycetes; Micrococcales; Micrococcaceae
Description: bacterial SSU rRNA
Rfam family: Bacterial small subunit ribosomal RNA
Source: RNAcentral